RNAcentral lists this ribosomal RNA (194 nucleotides) under uncultured bacterium. RNAcentral describes it as "partial 16S ribosomal RNA". It matches the Rfam family "Bacterial small subunit ribosomal RNA", at positions 338 to 524 of the family's 1533-position model. The record is from RNAcentral.
CCUACGGGAGGCAGCAGUGGGGAAUAUUGCACAAUGGGGGAAACCCUGAUGCAGCCAUGCCGCGUGUGUGAAGAAGGCCUUCGGGUUGUAAAGCACUUUCAGCGAGGAGGAAAGGUUGGCAGCUAAUAUCUGUCAGCUGUGACGUUACUCGCAGAAGAAGCACCGGCUAACUCCGUGCCAGCAGCCGCGGUAAU